CUACGGGGGGCACCAGUGAGGAAUAUUGCACAAUGGGGGGAACCCUGAUGCAGCAACGCCGCGUGGAGGAUGACGCAUUUCGGUGUGUAAACUCCUUUUAUAUGUCAAGAAAAUGACGGUAGCAUAUGAAUAAGCACCGGCUAACUCCGUGCCAGCAGCCGCGGUAAUACGGAGGGUGCAAGCGUUACUCGGAAUCACUGGGCGUAAAGGACGCGUAGGCGGGUUGGAAAGUCAGGUGUGAAAUCCUACAGCUUAACUGUAGAACUGCACUUGAAACUUCUAAUCUAGAGUAUGGGAGGGGGAGAUGGAAUUAGUGGUGUAGGGAUAAAAUCCGUAGAUAUCACUAGGAAUACCUAAAGCGAAGGCGAUCUCCUGGAACAUAACUGACGCUAAGGCGUGAAAGCGUGGGGAGCAAACAGGAUUAGAUACCCUUGUAGUC
Molecule: ribosomal RNA, 439 nt
Filed under: uncultured bacterium
Lineage: Bacteria
Description: partial 16S ribosomal RNA
Rfam family: Bacterial small subunit ribosomal RNA
Source: RNAcentral